Molecule: ribosomal RNA, 497 nt
Filed under: uncultured bacterium
Lineage: Bacteria
Description: partial 16S ribosomal RNA
Rfam family: Bacterial small subunit ribosomal RNA
Source: RNAcentral
GACGAACGCUGGCGGCGUGCCUAAUACAUGCAAGUAGAACGCUGAAGCUUGGUGCUUGCACCUAGCGGAUGAGUUGCGAACGGGUGAGUAACGCGUAGGUAACCUGCCUGGUAGCGGGGGAUAACUAUUGGAAACGAUAGCUAAUACCGCAUAAGAGUAGAUGUUGCAUGACAUUUGCUUAGAAGGUGCAAUUGCAUCACUACCAGAUGGACCUGCGUUGUAUUAGCUAUUUGGUGAGGUAACGGCUCACCAAGGCAACGAUACAUAGCCGACCUGAGAGGGAGAUCGGCCACACUGGGACUGAGACACGGCCCAGACUCCUACGGGAGGCAGCAGUAGGGAAUCUUCGGCAAUGGACGGAAGUCUGACCGAGCAACGCCGCGUGAGUGAAGAAGGUUUUCGGAUCGUAAAGCUCUGUUGUAAGAGAAGAACGAGUGUGAGAGUGGAAAGUUCACACUGUGACGGUAUCUUAACAGAAAGGGACGGCUAACUACGUG